GACGAACGCUGGCGGCGUGCCUAAUACAUGCAAGUAGAACGCUGAAGGAGGAGCUUGCUUCUCUGGAUGAGUUGCGAACGGGUGAGUAACGCGUAGGUAACCUGCCUGGUAGCGGGGGAUAACUAUUGGAAACGAUAGCUAAUACCGCAUAAGAGUAGAUGUUGCAUGACAUUUGCUUAAAAGGUGCAAUUGCAUCACUACCAGAUGGACCUGCGUUGUAUUAGCUAGUUGGUGGGGUAACGGCUCACCAAGGCGACGAUACAUAGCCGACCUGAGAGGGUGAUCGGCCACACUGGGACUGAGACACGGCCCAGACUCCUACGGGAGGCAGCAGUAGGGAAUCUUCGGCAAUGGACGGAAGUCUGACCGAGCAACGCCGCGUGAGUGAAGAAGGUUUUCGGAUCGUAAAGCUCUGUUGUAAGAGAAGAACGAGUGUGAGAGUGGAAAGUUCACACUGUGACGGUAUCUGACCAGAAAGGGACGGCUAACUACGUG
RNAcentral lists this ribosomal RNA (495 nucleotides) under uncultured bacterium. RNAcentral's name for it is "partial 16S ribosomal RNA". It matches the Rfam family "Bacterial small subunit ribosomal RNA", at positions 28 to 507 of the family's 1533-position model. The record is from RNAcentral.